Molecule: ribosomal RNA, 730 nt
Filed under: uncultured Staphylococcus sp.
Lineage: Bacteria; Bacillati; Bacillota; Bacilli; Caryophanales; Staphylococcaceae
Description: bacterial SSU rRNA
Rfam family: Bacterial small subunit ribosomal RNA
Source: RNAcentral
UCGAGCGAACGGACGAGAAGCUUGCUUCUCUGAUGUUAGCGGCGGACGGGUGAGUAACACGUGGAUAACCUACCUAUAAGACUGGGAUAACUUCGGGAAACCGGAGCUAAUACCGGAUAAUAUUUUGAACCGCAUGGUUCAAAAGUGAAAGACGGUCUUGCUGUCACUUAUAGAUGGAUCCGCGCUGCAUUAGCUAGUUGGUAAGGUAACGGCUUACCAAGGCAACGAUGCAUAGCCGACCUGAGAGGGUGAUCGGCCACACUGGAACUGAGACACGGUCCAGACUCCUACGGGAGGCAGCAGUAGGGAAUCUUCCGCAAUGGGCGAAAGCCUGACGGAGCAACGCCGCGUGAGUGAUGAAGGUCUUCGGAUCGUAAAACUCUGUUAUUAGGGAAGAACAUAUGUGUAAGUAACUGUGCACAUCUUGACGGUACCUAAUCAGAAAGCCACGGCUAACUACGUGCCAGCAGCCGCGGUAAUACGUAGGUGGCAAGCGUUAUCCGGAAUUAUUGGGCGUAAAGCGCGCGUAGGCGGUUUUUUAAGUCUGAUGUGAAAGCCCACGGCUCAACCGUGGAGGGUCAUUGGAAACUGGAAAACUUGAGUGCAGAAGAGGAAAGUGGAAUUCCAUGUGUAGCGGUGAAAUGCGCAGAGAUAUGGAGGAACACCAGUGGCGAAGGCGACUUUCUGGUCUGUAACUGACGCUGAUGUGCGAAAGCGUGGGGAUCAAACA